RNAcentral lists this ribosomal RNA (1556 nucleotides) under Salmonella enterica subsp. enterica serovar Albany. RNAcentral's name for it is "bacterial SSU rRNA". It matches the Rfam family "Bacterial small subunit ribosomal RNA". Lineage: Bacteria; Pseudomonadati; Pseudomonadota; Gammaproteobacteria; Enterobacterales; Enterobacteriaceae. RNAcentral also lists the same sequence under 1 other name. The record is from RNAcentral.
UUAAAUUGAAGAGUUUGAUCAUGGCUCAGAUUGAACGCUGGCGGCAGGCCUAACACAUGCAAGUCGAACGGUAACAGGAAGCAGCUUGCUGCUUUGCUGACGAGUGGCGGACGGGUGAGUAAUGUCUGGGAAACUGCCUGAUGGAGGGGGAUAACUACUGGAAACGGUGGCUAAUACCGCAUAACGUCGCAAGACCAAAGAGGGGGACCUUCGGGCCUCUUGCCAUCAGAUGUGCCCAGAUGGGAUUAGCUUGUUGGUGAGGUAACGGCUCACCAAGGCGACGAUCCCUAGCUGGUCUGAGAGGAUGACCAGCCACACUGGAACUGAGACACGGUCCAGACUCCUACGGGAGGCAGCAGUGGGGAAUAUUGCACAAUGGGCGCAAGCCUGAUGCAGCCAUGCCGCGUGUAUGAAGAAGGCCUUCGGGUUGUAAAGUACUUUCAGCGGGGAGGAAGGUGUUGUGGUUAAUAACCGCAGCAAUUGACGUUACCCGCAGAAGAAGCACCGGCUAACUCCGUGCCAGCAGCCGCGGUAAUACGGAGGGUGCAAGCGUUAAUCGGAAUUACUGGGCGUAAAGCGCACGCAGGCGGUCUGUCAAGUCGGAUGUGAAAUCCCCGGGCUCAACCUGGGAACUGCAUUCGAAACUGGCAGGCUUGAGUCUUGUAGAGGGGGGUAGAAUUCCAGGUGUAGCGGUGAAAUGCGUAGAGAUCUGGAGGAAUACCGGUGGCGAAGGCGGCCCCCUGGACAAAGACUGACGCUCAGGUGCGAAAGCGUGGGGAGCAAACAGGAUUAGAUACCCUGGUAGUCCACGCCGUAAACGAUGUCUACUUGGAGGUUGUGCCCUUGAGGCGUGGCUUCCGGAGCUAACGCGUUAAGUAGACCGCCUGGGGAGUACGGCCGCAAGGUUAAAACUCAAAUGAAUUGACGGGGGCCCGCACAAGCGGUGGAGCAUGUGGUUUAAUUCGAUGCAACGCGAAGAACCUUACCUGGUCUUGACAUCCACGGAAGUUUUCAGAGAUGAGAAUGUGCCUUCGGGAACCGUGAGACAGGUGCUGCAUGGCUGUCGUCAGCUCGUGUUGUGAAAUGUUGGGUUAAGUCCCGCAACGAGCGCAACCCUUAUCCUUUGUUGCCAGCGGUUAGGCCGGGAACUCAAAGGAGACUGCCAGUGAUAAACUGGAGGAAGGUGGGGAUGACGUCAAGUCAUCAUGGCCCUUACGACCAGGGCUACACACGUGCUACAAUGGCGCAUACAAAGAGAAGCGACCUCGCGAGAGCAAGCGGACCUCAUAAAGUGCGUCGUAGUCCGGAUUGGAGUCUGCAACUCGACUCCAUGAAGUCGGAAUCGCUAGUAAUCGUGGAUCAGAAUGCCACGGUGAAUACGUUCCCGGGCCUUGUACACACCGCCCGUCACACCAUGGGAGUGGGUUGCAAAAGAAGUAGGUAGCUUAACCUUCGGGAGGGCGCUUACCACUUUGUGAUUCAUGACUGGGGUGAAGUCGUAACAAGGUAACCGUAGGGGAACCUGCGGUUGGAUCACCUCCUUACCUUAAAGAAGC